RNAcentral lists this ribosomal RNA (455 nucleotides) under uncultured bacterium. RNAcentral describes it as "bacterial LSU rRNA". It matches the Rfam family "Bacterial large subunit ribosomal RNA", at positions 2402 to 2853 of the family's 2925-position model. The record is from RNAcentral.
AAAGCAGGUCAUAGUGAUCCGGUGGUCCUGUAUGGAAAGGCCAUCGCUCAACGGAUAAAAGGUACUCCGGGGAUAACAGGCUUAUCACGCCCAAGAGUUCACAUCGACGGCGUGGUUUGGCACCUCGAUGUCGGCUCAUCGCAUCCUGGGGCUGAAGUAGGUCCCAAGGGUUCGGCUGUUCGCCGAUUAAAGCGGUACGCGAGCUGGGUUCAAAACGUCGUGAGACAGUUUGGUCCCUAUCCGCCGUGGGCGCAGGAGACUUGAGAGGAGCUAACCUUAGUACGAGAGGACCGGGUUGGACUGACCUCUAGUGUUCCGGUUGUGGCACCAGCCGCAUCGCCGGGUAGCUACGUCGGGAAUGGAUAACCGCUGAAAGCAUCUAAGCGGGGAAGCCAACCUCAAGAUUAGGUCUCCCAGGUCGUAAGACCCUAAAGGCCCCUCGUAGACCACGAGGC